Zingiber officinale is the source of this 927-nucleotide long non-coding RNA. RefSeq lists it as uncharacterized. The transcript is spliced from 2 exons. NCBI's taxonomy places the organism in Eukaryota, Viridiplantae, Streptophyta, Magnoliopsida, Zingiberales, Zingiberaceae. The record is from RefSeq and is a predicted model, not a curated record.
UUUGAGAGGAAAAAAUUGAAAGAAAUACUUGGAGGUAACCCUAGGACAAGAUGAUAAAAUCCAGGAAGAAGCCGUCGCCUGCAUAUCGCCGCCACAUCUACAUCCUCCUCCCAUGGCUGGAAGCGCGGUGGCUGGGCUGAUCUCCCGCUAGAUCUCUUCUCCCUCAUUUGGUCGGCUGCCGUUGGCGAUCUGUCUUCACGCGCCAGAUGCUUUAUGUUCCGACUGGGUGGUGGUGGAUAAGGACUUGGGAGACUUGAUCGUCUUCUUAGGCGGCCGCAACCCACUUUGUUUUUCUGCUUGUGAUUUUCCAGAUUUGACGCCUAAUUCUAUAUAUUUUGCAGAUGACGAUGGAUUUCGGGAUCCAGAAUUUUCCUACUACUAUCAUCGAAUGUAUAAACAAUUAAAUAAUCCAAGGCUUUCUACCUUCAUUCAGCGGGCCUAUCUUCUGCCAGUGUUUUCGGAACGAAAUUGGUUCAGAAAAAUUCUGAAUUAUCCGAUUGACGUGGACAAGACUUUCAUCCGGUUAUAUUGGCAGCCUCCCUCAAGCUCCAUUAAUAACGCACAACAAAGGCUAUAAAGAGAGUGAAGAAGAAAAGAGUAUACUUGAAAUGUUGCAGAACAUUCCAGCAGAUGUGGGGGUGUAUGACAUGGAGAUGAUGAGUUUCGACAGAAUAUCAGACUCUGAUGAGUGUACAGAAUUCACCUGGCCGCCACCGAUUUAGUUUUUUUUCCUCUUAGUAUAUAAAGCCUUGUAUUGUAGGAAAUAAUUUUUUUUGUUUACAUCUAAAGAACUUAGAAACUAAAUUCCCCUAGCCAUCAACGAUUUGAUUUUUUUCCCUCUUAGUAAAUAAAGCUUUGUAUUGUAGGAAGGAAUUUUUUUUGUUUACAUUUGAAAAAUUUAGAAACUAAAUUCAUUUUGCCGCCACA